Molecule: unclassified non-coding RNA, 405 nt
Filed under: Hevea brasiliensis (rubber tree)
Lineage: Eukaryota; Viridiplantae; Streptophyta; Magnoliopsida; Malpighiales; Euphorbiaceae
Source: RNAcentral
CGUGAAAUAGUGGAGCAGAGCUGGACUGCUGACUGAAAACCCUACAAAAGCACCAGCAACCUGUGCUGUAUUGGAAGACAAAAGAGUGGUCUGGCAGUGUGCAUUUUUGUUGUAUUUUCUUUGAGCGAUUCCAUUUCUGCCUUUUAGCAAAAGCUACUUGAAUUUCUUGUUAGCCUCUAUGUUUUCUCAUGAUUGUUUUUUGAUCACCUUGUGUACAAGACAUUAUCAUGUGUAUAGGAAGUCUUGUUUGUUGUUUGUGGUAGUUCAAGUUGUUAUGUCCUGAGCAGAUAGUUGUUAAUGGAGUUGUGCCCUUGCUCCUAGAGAAGGUUUUCNNNNNNNGCAGUUCUUAAUACAACAUUCAAUCAUUAUGAAUGAUUAUUCAGUUAUUUUUUUACCACCAAAAAA